GAUGAACGCUGGCGGCGUGCCUAAUACAUGCAAGUCGAGCGAACAGACGAGGAGCUUGCUCCUCUGACGUUAGCGGCGGACGGGUGAGUAACACGUGGAUAACCUACCUAUAAGACUGGGAUAACUUCGGGAAACCGGAGCUAAUACCGGAUAACAUGUUGAACCGCAUGGUUCAACAGUGAAAGACGGUCUUGCUGUCACUUAUAGAUGGAUCCGCGCCGCAUUAGCUAGUUGGUAAGGUAACGGCUUACCAAGGCAACGAUGCGUAGCCGACCUGAGAGGGUGAUCGGCCACACUGGAACUGAGACACGGUCCAGACUCCUACGGGAGGCAGCAGUAGGGAAUCUUCCGCAAUGGGCGAAAGCCUGACGGAGCAACGCCGCGUGAGUGAAGAAGGUCUUCGGAUCGUAAAACUCUGUUAUUAGGGAAGAACAAAUGUGUAAGUAACUAUGCACGUCUUGACGGUACCUAAUCAGAAAGCCACGGCUAACUACGCG
RNAcentral lists this ribosomal RNA (497 nucleotides) under uncultured bacterium. RNAcentral's name for it is "partial 16S ribosomal RNA". It matches the Rfam family "Bacterial small subunit ribosomal RNA", at positions 28 to 507 of the family's 1533-position model. The record is from RNAcentral.